Molecule: transfer RNA, 69 nt
Filed under: Quasipaa spinosa (Chinese spiny frog)
Lineage: Eukaryota; Metazoa; Chordata; Amphibia; Anura; Dicroglossidae
Description: tRNA-Arg
Rfam family: tRNA
About the family: Transfer RNA (tRNA) molecules are approximately 80 nucleotides in length.
Source: RNAcentral
GAGCUGUUAGUCCAAUAAAGACAACUGAUUUCGACUCAGUAGAUUAUGGUUUGAAUCCAUAACAUCUCU